Molecule: long non-coding RNA, 1170 nt
Filed under: Felis catus (domestic cat)
Lineage: Eukaryota; Metazoa; Chordata; Mammalia; Carnivora; Felidae
Description: lncRNA (ENSFCAG00000045415.2)
Source: RNAcentral
UUUGGAAAAUAUUGGCAUAAAUGAAAUUAUAAAGAUAACUUUUCUGCAUGACAUCUUAGAGCCUCUAGUGUGCUAAGAUACAUCAUUAACACUCAAAGCGGAGAUAUAAUAUACGAUGUUUUUGACCUCAAAAGCCAGUGUUAAAGAGUAUUCUCUAUGAUUACUGUCUUCAGGUACAUACUUUGGGAUACCCUAAUCUAAUCUAACUUCUAAUCCUGUUUGGAAUUUCAUUCUUAGAGGACCAUAUUAUACCACUCACAGUAAAAACAAUAAACUAGCACACUUGUAGUCUGUGUUAUAAAAUUUACCACUUGUGUAUAUACUUUUGUAGUUUUCAUUAUUGUUUUGCCUCCCAACUAGAUUGUAACUACUUAGGCAGUACGAGUCAUGCCUGAUGCUUCCAUAUCCACCAUGGAUUUUAGCACUGUGUUGGACAUGGUAAGUAAUAAAAUAAUUACUGGUCUACUGACCUGUGCUAAAAUUAAGGAUUUCAGGUUUCCGUGGGGUAUUUAGUUGCUCUAGCAUUUUAAGAUUUGAUGAGAUAGAUAAUCCAUUUACUUUAAAUAGAACUUUCUUUUGAUUUUGUAAACUUUGAGCCUACAUCCAAUAAGCCUUUGUCUUUCUGAGCUGAUAAAUAUAAAUGUUUCUUGUAUAGGAUUAUCAGAGUACUGCCAACAUCUGGAUCUUUUUCCAGAUUUAAGUCUUUAACACAGACUCCACCUGUGUUAUAAAUGCUAGAGAGGCUUUCUUCAUGUGCAGGAAGCAGACAUGCCAGAAAAAUUUCAGCACAAAUGCCCCAUAAAUUUGAAUCUGUUCUGUUAUUCUUUCAGCACCAGUGAGGUCCUUAAUGAGACCCAACAGUUGUUCGAGUUUGACCCUGCAGGAUGAUGUUGAAAUUUUUCCAAUGUUUGGGUGGACAGAAAAUUUAGAGGAUGCUGCGCCAGUCAACAUUUCUCCCCAUUCUGGGAGGAGGAUUGAGGAAAUCCACAAGUUCAUAAGAACUUGUCUACCAGCAUUCAGAUCUUGAGAGUAUGGCCGAGUGCAAAGCUGCAUUCAUGGAAACAAAGGUUCUUACCCUGCUGGACUGGGUGGUUGGAGACUUCGCUCCUUCAGACCCCAUCACAAAGUAUGUUAGUGAAUAAAUUCUUAAAGACAAAAGGUUUUCCUGCA